Molecule: ribosomal RNA, 396 nt
Filed under: uncultured bacterium
Lineage: Bacteria
Description: partial 16S ribosomal RNA
Rfam family: Bacterial small subunit ribosomal RNA
Source: RNAcentral
AUACGUAGGUGGCAAGCGUUGUCCGGAAUUAUUGGGCGUAAAGCGCAUGUAGGCGGCGUGUUAAGUCUGUCGUGAAACUGCGGGGCUCAGCCCCGUAUGGCGAUGGAAACUGAUGUGCUUGAGUGCAGGAGAGGAAAGGGGAACUCCCAGUGUAGCGGUGAAAUGCGUAGAUAUUGGGAAGAACACCGGUGGCGAAGGCGCCUUUCUGGACUGUGUCUGACGCUGAGAUGCGAAAGCCAGGGUAGCGAACGGGAUUAGAUACCCCGGUAGUCCUGGCCGUAAACGAUGGGUACUAGGUGUGGGAGGUAUCGACCCCUUCCGUGCCGGGGUUAACGCAAUAAGUACCCCGCCUGGGGAGUACGGCCGCAAGGCUUAAACUUAAAGGAAUUGACGGGG